UAAUAACAUUCGUGAAUUUUUUCGCGGAUUUGAGUUUUCCAGUAUUUUUAUUAUAAAAAAAAUGUUGGUAACUUUAAAAUUAUUUAUUACUUGGUACAAGUUGAAAACGUACUAUAUGUGUGGUUCGCUGACAACUUGUCCAUCAUCAUAUAUUAUGCACGCACUUGGUUUUUACGCUCUGUGCGAGUAUAUAUUUUUU
RNAcentral lists this unclassified non-coding RNA (199 nucleotides) under uncultured Diversispora. Its description in RNAcentral is "partial internal transcribed spacer 2". Lineage: Eukaryota; Fungi; Glomeromycota; Glomeromycetes; Diversisporales; Diversisporaceae. The record is from RNAcentral.